UAUCAUUUGACUAAAUUGUUGCGGGUCAUAGUUACAUGUUUUUUUUUGUUGCGUAGCCAGUAUCGUUGGACUAACUGGUUGUUGGUCUUAAUAUGAUCUCUGGCGUGAGUGGAAGUCUAACACAUAAUGUCAAUAUACGCUAAUCGUAUUCUGGUGUAAAAUUUUCUGGGAGCUGAUGUCUCAUUACAUUAGAGAGUUGAAAUGUCUGAUAUAAUUAUAAUUCUCUAUGAGCACUAUUGAUUGGUUACAUGCCUAUAGUGGGUUAAAUGAAUUGAAUAGCGAUUUCGAUUGCACACAGUUUGUUCUUGACUUCAAUGAGAGGUGUAAGAUGUGGCUUCUGCAGUUCUCUGUUUUUAUGAACUUAGGAUGGUCCUUUGUGGAAUCUAUGUUGAUGAUUGUUCUACCUGUUCCUAUUAUUUAUUAAUCUUCAGCCCAAGGUCAGGAUUCAUUUCUUCUUCGUUUCACGCCAUAGUCAAUUAAAGUAAUUUGUGGCAAGAAAUUUGUUUUUGUUCUGUCCAAACUAAAUUUUCUUUUGAUAUUCUCACUUGCGCAGGUUAUCAAAAGUAAAUAAUAAAAUUCCAUUAUCCUGGAGUAUAUCAUUAAAUGGCAGCUUCUUAAUAUCAUUGCACAGAAUCUUUUACCAGCUAUCAUUGGGGGGGGGUUUAAAGGUUAAGUCUCAUCUUACCGAUUGUGUGUUCUUUGUAAUUAAUGGUGCUAUAAGAGCAGUUGAUGUUUAAUAUGUACAUUUGCAUUUAUUGAUUUAUGCUGCUGGAAACAUGAAAUUAUUUGACUUUUUCCUUGCUUUUGGUGCUUUCGGAAAGCUUCAGCGGCGGACAACUUCAAAGCUUGAAGACCACGUAGCAAGGCAUGGCAGGAGACGCCGUGUAGCCUACGCCCUUCUUUGUUGUAUGGGUCACCACCUUCCUAUGCCUCUGGUUUCAAGCAUUUUUUUUUGUGUUGUUCCAUGUUUUACAACGGGAUCAGCUAGAAGCCCUUGUUCCAUGCGUCUUUCAUAUCAAACUGCCAGAUGCUCCUAGAGUCUAGCUCUCCUAUAAAAAGCUUUUGUACAUGCUCCGUAUAAGUUUCUUAGCUACUAGAGAUAUUUCCAUUGAGAGAGGAUCACACUUAAUGUAUUCAUUUUCAAAUUUUGAGUUCACAAGUUGAACAUACUUACAUGCUAGCUAAUUCUUUAAUCGCAUUGUGCAUGUAUUAUAUUAAUUAGUCCAUUCUACUAAUCCUUACUGUUCUCAUUUUUCAUAUCUUAUGUAUGGUGAAGAUACUCAUGAAUGUAAACUUCCAUCGGUGUAUUUGCAAUCUUCAUGGUCCAGUGCCCACUUUUUAUUGUGUAAUUUGGUUCCAUGGAGCUUAGCUGCAUUUGUCGCAUCCAUCGGAUGCCAGUACAUGACACUCCUCGGGUUCAUACGAUUGAUCAACAUAUGUGGGUAAAUUACUGUCUGGUAAUCAACAUGUGUGGGUAAAAUUUCAGUUCCUCUAUUCUGAACCAUUGCUUCACUUGCAUGUUCACUGGGCCGAGUGGUGAGGUUAAGAUGUCGAUGGCAUGUCCACUAGCCGAGUGGCGAGCUUGAGCUGUCGCUGCACUUAAGUUCCAAUGCAUCUGGUCUUCGAAUUAUUUUUCAAGCAAUGAUCGCAGUUUUCACUUUUGUAUUUGGUUUGUUUGCUUCAAAUAAAUUGAUGCGUCAGGAAACAAUCAAAUGUAUCCAUGUACUUGAGAAUGGAUGGCGCAUGGCCAUGGCUGGAAGUGACAGAACCGAUGCGGGAAUUGGCCAUCGGAGCUCCGCCACGUCCGCCUGCCCCUCCCCCUCCAAAAUCCCGCUUCGUUGUGUCGUGGUACCGUGGGAGACCGGUGGCAUGGAGGACCUCCCGGGAAAUUGAUAGGCUGAUGCAAGACACAUGAUAUGUUGUGUUCCUUUGCUCCUCUUCGUUAUAAUUAUUCUAUG
Long non-coding RNA from Lolium rigidum, 1958 nucleotides. RefSeq lists it as uncharacterized. The record is from RefSeq and is a predicted model, not a curated record. The transcript is spliced from 3 exons. NCBI's taxonomy places the organism in Eukaryota, Viridiplantae, Streptophyta, Magnoliopsida, Poales, Poaceae.